Molecule: long non-coding RNA, 3778 nt
Filed under: Homo sapiens (human)
Lineage: Eukaryota; Metazoa; Chordata; Mammalia; Primates; Hominidae
Description: HSALNT0315725
Source: RNAcentral
CACAAUAUAUAUAAUUGGUUAGGGCUCUAAUCAAGCCGGGGGGUCAGGAAAGAUUUUCUGGAGUGGGUGAUGUCUGAGCUCUGCGUUUCAGUGAUGAGUAGGAAUUAACUGAGCAAGAAAGAGAUAGAGUGGACAAAACAUUUCAGGCAAAGGGUACCACAAAAACAAAGGCAUGGAAGCUAGAGACAGCACGAGUUAGGCAGGUCAGCAGACUGGUUUUGUUAGAGUACAAGGGAGUGGUAAGAAAUGAGACCAGAGGUCAGCAGGGCUGAUAUAGGAGUUAUGUAGUGCUGAAUUUAUGUUAGGCUUUACCCUGAGGAAGUCAUUACAGUGUUUGAGAAUGAGACACACUUGAAUAGGCAGUCAGGUAGGUAGAUUAGGGGAGGAGCUUAAAGAGUACAGGAUCAGAGGCAGAGGCCGGGCUGGCUCCCCUCUGUAAUCCCAGCACUUUGGGAGGCUGAGGCAGGAGGAUCACUUGAAGCCAAGAGUUUGAGACCAGCCUGGGCAACAAAGCAAGACCCCCAUCUCUAUGAAAAUUAAUUUUUAAAAAGCCAGGUGCUGUGGUGUUUGCCUGUAGUCUUAGCUACUUUGGAAGCCAAAGCAAGAGGAUCCCUUGAGUCCAGGAGUUUGAGGCUGCAGUAAGCCAUGACUGCACCACUGCACUUCAGCUUGGGUGUCAGGGCAAGAUCCAUCUCAAAAAUGGAUAAAUAAAAUACAUUUUAAAAAAGGACCAGAGGCAGGCCGCACAGUGGCUCACACCUGUAAUCCCAGCACUUUGAGAAGCUGAGGCAGGUGGAUCACUUGAAGUCAGGAGUUCAAGACCAGCCUGGCCGACAUGAUGAAAUCCUGUCUCUACUAAAAGUACAAAAAUUAGCCUGGUGUGGUGGCAUGCACCUGUAAUCUCAACUACUUGGGAGGCUGAAGCAGGAGACUCGCUUGAACCUGGGAGGCAGAGAUUGCAGUGAGCUGAGAUUGCACCACUGCACUCCUGCCUGGGCGACAGAGAGAGAUGCUGUCUCAAAUAAAUAAAUAAAUAAAUAAAUAAAUAGGACCAGAGGCAGAGAGACUAUGUUGAGGUUGAGGUGACAGUUAAUAGCAUUUGCAGAACGGGGGUGGCAUCUGGGAUGGGAAGGGGAGUGAUUUGAGACACAUUUGGAAGGUAAAUUGGCAAGACUUGGUGACUGAUGGGUUAUGGGAAACGAAGACCAGGUAGGAAUCAUGGGUGUGUUCCUGGAGACCACCACCAUCAUGUGACAUGGAGAGAACUGGCAUAGAAGGGGAGAAGAUGAUGAUGAGUUACUUUUGAACACACUGCACUUGAGAGGGUUUAAAUAAUUUAUUCUCCUACUGUCUUCAAAAGGUAAAGGAGUAUAUAUGGUAAACUUAACUGUGGUCUAAAAUGAAGGUGGAGAAUGCUGUUGUUAAUGGGCGACAUCACUAAUGCAUCAUAGCACUCUUAUUCCCACAGCCCAGACACACCUUCGGCGUCCUUUUCAACAUAUCAUUUCAUCCCCCCAAGGUGUCAACUAUAAGUUCCAACACAUGAUGGCUACUACUGUUCCAAGGGAGAGUGUAUGCCUUGGAAAGCCACGUUUCUCCCCAGUCUAAAAGCUUGAGAGAGUAACAUUCUUUAAAACAUACAUGUCUUGAACACAGAUUUGGAGGUAUCCUUGAGGUAAAUUACAGCUUACCAAAUGUAAAUAACCAAAAACACAUCGAUCAUGAGUGCCAGCAUCACUGGGAACUCUUCCGAUAUUUCUGAGACUCCUAACUUGGUUUAAGGUUAGGGCAGUGCAGACCACGGUAAUCAAGAGAGUCUAAUUUUAAAUUUGUUAACUGUCCAUUAUGGGAUGGGACAGGUCUUCUCAACAUGACUCCAGCAAGAUCCAGGCUUAUUAAUGCUCCAUGGAGGGUGUCCGCAGCAAGAAGUCUUCCUGAUGGGUUCAGAUGAUUUGGAUUACACCCCCUCCUUAAGGAACUCAGAAGGAAAAGCAACAUAUAAAAGACUGAGAAAUCCUCAGAAAUCAAUUAAACUUAGUUUGGCCUAGUGUCACCCAGACUUACUUGACCAUGAAAUCCUCCUGUCGCAUGACACUCAUGAAGAGCCCCUGAAAUUAGGAUCAUUUCAAUCCUCAAAGCAUACCCAUUUUUCAAACGAGAAAUACAACUUCUAGAAUCACAAAGCCACAAAAUUGGCAAGGGAGAUCUAAAAUCAGAUCUUCCGGUUCCAGCUUCAGGGCCCAAUUCAUAGGACUGCAGCUGAAGAGGACAGUUGGCAGUGAAGAUGAGAGCUGAUACCUGGGCUACACACCCACUUUACAAACAGAACAUCGGGGGCUCGGCAGUAUCCCUACUCGGCAAAAUGUGCGGCACAUGGGCCAGCUACAGCUUUCUGGGGGCUCCCCAUCAGGGCUGACAGCUCAUCCUGUCUUUUAAAGUCCACCACCAUUGCCCUUUUCUUUUGUAGCCACUACAAAACACUACUCUGUUUACUCUCUGCUAUACCCGCGAGAGGAAUUCUGGCCUUUAGGGCAUUUCCUGUUGCCUAGAAACCUUAUAGAGCACUGGGUGCAGGAAGCUGACUCUCUGGUAGAGAUUCACAGGCAGGAAGUUUAUUCAGAGUGCUCUGGGGCAACACCUGUGAGGGAAUACAGGCAGUAAAACAGGGCAGAGGGAGAGGCUGAAUUCUGAUGCAGCUGCAAACAAAAGCCUGACUGAUCCAGGAGGAUGCUCUGCAACGGGGCUGGGCGUUCAAAGUGGAUCCAAGCCGGGUGAAAGGUCCAGGCCUUCAUGUCCCAGCAUCAACCUGUCUUUGGAUAUGGGUUGCUACUGCUCCUACCUUGGGCAUCCUAGUUCUCCUCAGCCACAGGCAAUCCCGAAGAGGGUCUCAGCUGAGCACUGUCAGCUGCCAACAUUACCAGCAGCUGAAGAAGGAAGUCCUUCCCUCCUGGAAGCGGGUGGAGGGAGUGUUGUAGAUCUGGGCUGCCUGACAACAUCUUCUGCAUUGCUCAGGGCGUGUUUCCCACUCAACUCUCAGUGAUGAAUAAACUCAAAGGAAAGGAAAAUCAUUUGGCAACCGGAAGGUGUGGGAGGAUAGCUGUAAAUGAAACUGACGGCAAAAAACAGAGCAGAGAAGUUUAAAGAAAAAAAAUAACAGCAUUCCUGGUGAUGCCCCAUUGGGCCAAUGAAACAAACACAUUCUGAAGCCUUUCCUAACCAGGAGCCAACCAAUCUCAUCACUGUGAAGCCAGAAAACCCUAUCUAUUGAAGAUGACUGCUUUCUUCUACUGUAGCUGGCAAUUUUAUGAAAUGAAGAAAAUUUGCUCUAGUUGCAAGUGACACACACCUCUUAAAUGUCUGCUAUCAAUUAAAAGUAAAAUACUGGUUACUUGCAACUAUCAAUUAGAUACAAUGCACUCCAGGAGAUCAGGAGCCUUGGCAUUCAGACAUAGGAGCAUUUUUUUGGCUUUGCCAUUUACUUGCAAUGUGACCUUGAUGAGAGAGAAGUUGAUGCUCAGCGAGGUGAAGUAAUUUGCCCAGGGUUAAGAUUCAAAUGCAAGUCUGGGGACCCUGAAGUCUGCUUCUUUUCACUGUGCUGCGUAGUGGCCUUAGCCUUUCCUUUCUAACAGAGAAGCCAAGACAGCAUACCUGUGUCUGAGUGCCCCAGUGGUGUGCACAUCUAUUACCUCAGGAAGAAAGAAUGUCUGAGGAGACGAAAUUUGCAAACAGUUACAAAGGACUGCACACACAAAUAUGAAUAAAGCCUCUUGAACACCAG